This 253-nucleotide ribosomal RNA is filed under the name uncultured bacterium. RNAcentral describes it as "partial 16S ribosomal RNA". It matches the Rfam family "Bacterial small subunit ribosomal RNA", at positions 524 to 776 of the family's 1533-position model. The record is from RNAcentral.
UACGUAGGAGGCAAGCGUUGUCCGGAAUUACUGGGCGUAAAGCGCGUGUAGGUGGUGGGACAAGUCUGCUGUGAAAGCGCCUGGCUUAACCGGGCGAGGUCGGCGGAAACUGUCCGACUCGAGGACGGUAGAGGGGGGUGGAAUUCCCGGUGUAGUGGUGAAAUGCGUAGAGAUCGGGAGGAACACCUGUGGCGAAGGCGGCCCCCUGGGCCGGCCCUGACACUGAGACGUGAAGGCGUGGGGAGCGAACGGG